CUGCCGCCACUGCCGCUCCUCCUCCUCACUGUCGUCCGGCUCCACCGAGAGCGUCUCUUACGGCAUCCCCACCAUAUGCAAGGACAAGAGACAAAAGCGAUACCACGAGGACAUAUUCGGGGCAGUGUUUGCGCACGAGAACCAACGAGACACGAGACCACGACCCGGCUUCGAGUCUCCAAAUCCGCUCACGUUUUAGCUGUAUUUUUGCACAUUCGCUCCCCUUUUCCGAUGUCACGGGGAGCCAAAUUUGUCUUUCCCUCCAAAAUUUUGGAGGUGAAUCAGUACACUUUGGCUCCCAGGAUUGGUUGGGGACCAGACACCUUUUAUUUAAUGCUAUUUAUUCUAUCAGAUCCUUUGUCAUGUGUGUAUAUUGUAUGGGAAGAGGUCAGUUGUAUGUGUUUUUAAAGAAAUGUAUUGCUCAUAUUUUUGGGAGUUGAUGACUAAGCUUGAACUCUUGGUUUCCCAGAUUUCUAGGCCUUGUCUACACAUCUAGAGUUAACCUAGAUUGACUUCUUCUCCCAUGUCUAAAAAUGUUAAUACAGGGUGAUUGGUUGGGAGUUGCAUCAUUUAUACGGUUGAUUUUCCGUUUUUGUACCUUUGUUUAGUUAACCUAUUGCAUAAACUGUUUUGAUUUUGUAAGAGAAAUAAAUAAUUAUUCCUGCUGCUGAA
Molecule: long non-coding RNA, 672 nt
Organism: Anolis carolinensis (green anole)
Lineage: Eukaryota; Metazoa; Chordata; Lepidosauria; Squamata; Anolidae
Exons: 2
Source: RefSeq, a predicted model, not a curated record